GGGCGAGUAGCUUAGUGGCUAAAGCAGCACGUUUACACCGUGCCUACCGGGGGUUCGAGUCCCUCCUUGCCCAUCA
This 76-nucleotide transfer RNA is filed under the name bacterium. RNAcentral describes it as "tRNA-Val". It matches the Rfam family "tRNA". From Rfam's summary of the family: Transfer RNA (tRNA) molecules are approximately 80 nucleotides in length. Their secondary structure includes four short double-helical elements and three loops (D, anti-codon, and T loops). The record is from RNAcentral.